Molecule: ribosomal RNA, 253 nt
Filed under: uncultured bacterium
Lineage: Bacteria
Description: partial 16S ribosomal RNA
Rfam family: Bacterial small subunit ribosomal RNA
Source: RNAcentral
GACAGAGGGUGCAAACGUUGUUCGGAAUUACUGGGCGUAAAGCGUGCGCAGGCGGUCUGUUAAGACAGGUGUGAAAUCCCCGAGCUCAACUUGGGAAUUGCGCUUGUUACUGGCAGGCUAGAGUGUGGCAGAGGGGGGUGGAAUUCCACGUGUAGCAGUGAAAUGCGUAGAUAUGUGGAGGAACACCGAUGGCGAAGGCAGCCCCCUGGGUUAACACUGACGCUCAGGCACGAAAGCGUGGGGAGCAAACAGG